AAAAAAUUUAAAACGCGAGUGAUAUUGUCAUUGUGGAAAUUGUGGUGAUUUAGUUAACAUACAGAGAGUUCUCUCAAUAAAACACAAUACACGAAGACUGUUUUCGCCUAACAAAAAGAAAAAGAUGGAGAUAUACUGCUUCCGAUGUCAAGAAAAGACGGAGACAUUGAAUGAGAGGUCGAGAAGGCUAACGAACGGAAGAAUUAGUAUUCAGGGGGAUUGUGUAAAAUGUGGUACAAGAAAGUCUACAAUUCUUGGCUAGGCCAUUCGAGAACCAAAUUAUUAUCAAUGAUAAUACUUAAUUGUUAAUCAGCGUCAUGGAAAUGUUUAAAUUAAGUUACAACAUGUACUGAUAAUAAUUUUAAUAAAGAAAUAUUGCGAAAA
Ruditapes philippinarum (Manila clam) is the source of this 384-nucleotide long non-coding RNA. RefSeq lists it as uncharacterized. The record is from RefSeq and is a predicted model, not a curated record. The transcript is spliced from 2 exons. Lineage: Eukaryota; Metazoa; Mollusca; Bivalvia; Venerida; Veneridae.